Molecule: ribosomal RNA, 233 nt
Filed under: uncultured bacterium
Lineage: Bacteria
Description: partial 16S ribosomal RNA
Rfam family: Bacterial small subunit ribosomal RNA
Source: RNAcentral
UGAGUAACCUGCCCUUAACUCUGGGAUAAGCCUGGGAAACUGGGUCUAAUACCGGAUAUGACUCCUCAUCGCAUGGUGGGGGGUGGAAAGCUUUAUUGUGGUUUUGGAUGGACUCGCGGCCUAUCAGCUUGUUGGUGAGGUAAUGGCUCACCAAGGCGACGACGGGUAGCCGGCCUGAGAGGGUGAUCGGCCACACUGGGACUGAGACACGGCCCAGACUCCUACGGGAGCAG